Molecule: ribosomal RNA, 468 nt
Filed under: uncultured bacterium
Lineage: Bacteria
Description: partial 16S ribosomal RNA
Rfam family: Bacterial small subunit ribosomal RNA
Source: RNAcentral
GACGAACGCUGGCGGCGUGCUUAAUACAUGCAAGUCGAACGGAAAGGCCCUGCUUUUGUGGGGUGCUCGUGUGGCGAACGGGUGAGUAACACGCGAGUAACCUGCCCUUGACUUUGGGAUAAAUUCUGGAAACUGGGGAUCUUACCGGAUAGGAGCUUCUGCUGCAUGGUGGUGGUUGGAAAGUUUCGGCGGUUGGGGAUAGUCUCGCGGCUUAUCCGCUUGAUAGGCGGGUAGUGGCUUACCACGGCUUUGACGGGUAGCCGGCAUGAGAGGGUGACCGGCCACAAUGGUACUGCGAUACGGCCCAGACUCCUACGGGAGGCAGCAGUGGGGAGUAUUGCAGAAUGGGCGGAAGCCUGAUGCAGCAAUGCCGCGAGCGUGAUGACGUCCUUCGGGUUGUAAACCGCUUUCGCCGGUGACGAAGCGUGAGUGACGGUAAUGGGUAAAGAAGCACCGGCUAACUACGUG